AUUGAACGCUGGCGACAGGCCUAACACAUGCAAGUCGAACGAGUGGCGGACGGGUGAGUAAUGUCUGGGAAACUGCCUGAUGGAGGGGGAUAACUACUAGAAACGGUAGCUAAUACCGCAUACCAUCGGAUGUGCCCAGAUGGGAUUAGCUAGUAGGUGGGGUAAAGGCUCACCUAGGAGACGAUCCCUAGCUGGUCUGCGAGGAUGACCAGCCACACUGGAACUGAGACACGGUCCAGACUCCUACGGGAGGCAGCAGUGGGGAAUAUUGCACAAGGGGAGCAAGCCUGAUGCAGCCACGCCGCGUGUAUGAAGAAGGCCGUCGGGUUGUAAAGUACUUUCAGCGGGGAGGCGUUACCCGCAGAUGAAGCCCCGGCUAACUCCGUGCCAGCAGCCGCGGUAAUUC
RNAcentral lists this ribosomal RNA (406 nucleotides) under uncultured bacterium. RNAcentral's name for it is "partial 16S ribosomal RNA". It matches the Rfam family "Bacterial small subunit ribosomal RNA", at positions 30 to 526 of the family's 1533-position model. The record is from RNAcentral.